Long non-coding RNA from Pygocentrus nattereri (red-bellied piranha), 1836 nucleotides. RefSeq lists it as uncharacterized. The record is from RefSeq and is a predicted model, not a curated record. The transcript has 4 exons. NCBI's taxonomy places the organism in Eukaryota, Metazoa, Chordata, Actinopteri, Characiformes, Serrasalmidae.
CCUGGGUGUUUUUACAACUUCGUCGUCCGACUGCUGUCACCCUCCUGUAUUUAUAGGUUUCCUCCGCCACGGACACGAGGUGGGCGGUGAUGCGGUUUCAAAGGUCAAAACAAUACGAACGUCCUAUCCGAGCAGGGGAUUGGCCCGACGAACGGGCUGAACCCGCCCCUACCGUGACGUCUCUUGUGCUCAUUGGCGCUUUUUCACACUCAAUCAUAAGGUGCCCGAUUUCAUUACAGUCUUUCUCCCAUUUAAAGGACACGGACGUCACGCGUUACCUAGUUCCAGCACUCCCGGCUCAAAGUUGAUCUGCUGAACAAGCCACAUCACAACGACACUGUUUAACGUCUCAGCGGUCUGCCCUUGUUCAUGAGUGGCAAAUCCAAACAGCCAGCAGAAGACAAGCCAAUUUCCAGGAAAAGCCAUGACAGAGAACUUUUCCCUGAUUGGACAGCACCCCUUGGAGAAGACCGCAUUGCGAGUGAAAGCCCUAAUCUACAGUAAGGAUAAAGGGACAAGAUGAAGCAGCAGUGUUGGCUCCUUGUUUCUGAAAUCACCCUGUCUCUUUAACUGGAGAACAGCAGGUCACCUGAGAGGCCUUUGGCCUGAAGCGAAGAUGGGAGUUUUGAUAAAUCACACAGAAAUGUGCUGAUCCGGCAGAGAAACUGGAGGAAAUCUACAAAGAGUUUCCCGCAUCUGCAGCUGAAGCCGGAGCUGGAGCUGGAGCUGGAGCUGGCUAUUAGGGCUGCAGUAUGAACCAUGAUAUUAGAAUAAUGGCGCGAUAAUAGGCCAGCGAGAGUAAAAUAAGCACUACUGCUGAAAAUUCACACAGGGACUUUGAGUAAACACACUCCUCCACUAAGUCACGCUUCGAGCUUGUACACAAACACACACACACACACACACACACACACACACACACACACACUCAUAACCCCAUCCCCUCCCUCCCACACACACUCACACACACAUACACUUUGUUUAAAUUCAGAGCUUGUCUCCCAUGUGCUUCAGCUUUUUGCGUGACGUCAAAGGCCAACGUUUUGGAUUAUGCGCUAGAUCCUCUUUCGCUGUCUGAAUGGAUAAUGGCACCCUGCUAUCAGAGUCUACAGACCUGCGGAGAGGGAGAGGGAGAGGGAGAGAGAGAAAGAAAAAGAGAGAGAGAGAGACAGAGAGAGGGAGAGAGCAGUUUCUGAUCACACAUCAUUGUCAGAGUUGUUUGUGUGCCUCACAUACAUUCUCCAGUUUUCCAUCACACUCUCUCACACACACAGACAUACACACACAUACCUAUAGAUAUACGCAUAAAUAUACAGUCAUGUCCAAAUGUAUUUGGACAGAGGCAGGAUUUUUGUAAUUUUGCCCCUGUGCACCACAAUCCACUAUAAUGGAUUUGAAAUGAAGCAGAUGUAUUCAAAAUGUUGAAGUGUAGACGUCCAGCUUUAUUUUAAGGGGUUUAACAAAAAUAUCCCAUUAACUCUUUAGGAACUACAGCCAUUUUUACAUAGUCCCUCCAUUUUCACAGGCUCCAAAGUAAUUGAACAAGCUAACAUAAUUAUAAACAUAAGGAUUAUUUUACAUUUUUCAUUGCAAAUCCUUUGCAGUCUUGCAUAACUGCCCGACGUCUGGAACCCAUGAACAUCACCAAAUGCUGAGUUUCCUCCUUUGAGAUGCUUUGCCAGGCCUUACUGCAACGUCCUUAGCAGCUUCAACUUCUUGAGACCACCGGUGGUUCCAAAGCGCACCGUCAUAUUUUUCAUAACUUUCAAAUUUCAUAAGCUACAUUCAGAAGGUGGAUGUUGUAUGAGAGCUGUAAUUGUCUUCUGUGCAGUCAAA